GAUCUAGCUUGCUAGAUGCUGACGAGCGGCGGACGGGUGAGUAACGCAUAGGAAACUGCCCAGUAGUGGGGGAUAGCCCGGGGAAACCCGGAUUAAUACCGCAUACGUCCUUCGGGAGAAAGCAGGGGAUCUUCGGACCUUGCGCUAUUGGAUGUGCCUAUGUCGGAUUAGCUAGUUGGUGGGGUAAGAGCCUACCAAGGCGACGAUCCGUAGCUGGUCUGAGAGGAUGAUCAGCCACAUCGGGACUGAGACACGGCCCGAACUCCUACGGGAGGCAGCAGUGGGGAAUAUUGGACAAUGGGGGCAACCCUGAUCCAGCCAUGCCGCGUGUGUGAAGAAGGCUUUCGGGUUGUAAAGCACUUUCAGUGAGGAGGAAAAGUUAGUCCCUAAUACGGGCUAGCCUUGACGUUACUCACAGAAGAAGCACCGGCUAACUCCGUGCCAGCAGCCGCGGUAAUACGGAGGGUGCAAGCGUUAAUCGGAAUUACUGGGCGUAAAGCGCGCGUAGGUGGUUUGAUAAGCGAGAUGUG
RNAcentral lists this ribosomal RNA (530 nucleotides) under marine sediment bacterium BB0608_2216_3.2_3S0. RNAcentral's name for it is "bacterial SSU rRNA". It matches the Rfam family "Bacterial small subunit ribosomal RNA", at positions 72 to 596 of the family's 1533-position model. The record is from RNAcentral.